GUGAAGGAAAGCAGAAACCAACAUCCUCCCCCUUUCUGUGAACAUCACUGGGCAGCGUGUUCGUACAGUAUCAGUACAAACCCAACACUGUACCUAUGUGCAGAAGUUGGGUUUGUACUGAUACUGUACGAACACGCUGCCCAGUGAUGUUCACAGAAAGGGGGAGGAUGUUGGUUUCUGCUUUCCUUCACUGUGCAGCAACU
This is a non-coding RNA of Podarcis lilfordi (Lilford's wall lizard), 203 nucleotides long. NCBI's taxonomy places the organism in Eukaryota, Metazoa, Chordata, Lepidosauria, Squamata, Lacertidae. The record is from the annotation of a GenBank genome assembly.